RNAcentral lists this unclassified non-coding RNA (170 nucleotides) under soil metagenome. RNAcentral describes it as "partial internal transcribed spacer 1". The record is from RNAcentral.
CCUUUCAAUGCAGAAGAGUUGAGGUGGUUGAGUAUCUCGCCCCUCAAUUCUCGCUGUAUUUUUACCCUUGUUUUUCUCAUACUAUUGUUUCCUCGGCAGGCCAGCCUGCCGGGUGAAACAACUUCAAACCUGUUUAAUUUUCAAUCAGCGUCUGAACAAAUUAAUAAUUA